GGGUUGUGAGGUUAAGCGACUAAGCGUACACGGUGGAUGCCCUGGCAGUCAGAGGCGAUGAAGGACGUGCUAAUCUGCGAUAAGCGUCGGUAAGGUGAUAUGAACCGUUAUAACCGGCGAUUUCCGAAUGGGGAAACCCAGUGUGUUUCGACACACUAUCAUUAACUGAAUCCAUAGGUUAAUGAGGCGAACCGGGGGAACUGAAACAUCUAAGUACCCCGAGGAAAAGAAAUCAACCGAGAUUCCCCCAGUAGCGGCGAGCGAACGGGGAGCAGCCCAGAGCCUGAAUCAGUAUGUGUGUUAGUGGAAGCGUCUGGAAAGGCGCGCGAUACAGGGUGACAGCCCCGUACACAAAAAUGCACAUAUUGUGAGCUCGAUGAGUAGGGCGGGACACGUGGUAUCCUGUCUGAAUAUGGGGGGACCAUCCUCCAAGGCUAAAUACUCCUGACUGACCGAUAGUGAACCAGUACCGUGAGGGAAAGGCGAAAAGAACCCCGGCGAGGGGAGUGAAAAAGAACCUGAAACCGUGUACGUACAAGCAGUGGGAGCACGCUUAGGCGUGUGACUGCGUACCUUUUGUAUAAUGGGUCAGCGACUUAUAUUCUGUAGCAAGGUUAACCGAAUAGGGGAGCCGAAGGGAAACCGAGUCUUAACUGGGCGUUAAGUUGCAGGGUAUAGACCCGAAACCCGGUGAUCUAGCCAUGGGCAGGUUGAAGGUUGGGUAACACUAACUGGAGGACCGAACCGACUAAUGUUGAAAAAUUAGCGGAUGACUUGUGGCUGGGGGUGAAAGGCCAAUCAAACCGGGAGAUAGCUGGUUCUCCCCGAAAGCUAUUUAGGUAGCGCCUCGUGAAUUCAUCUCCGGGGGUAGAGCACUGUUUCGGCAAGGGGGUCAUCCCGACUUACCAACCCGAUGCAAACUGCGAAUACCGGAGAAUGUUAUCACGGGAGACACACGGCGGGUGCUAACGUCCGUCGUGAAGAGGGAAACAACCCAGACCGCCAGCUAAGGUCCCAAAGUCAUGGUUAAGUGGGAAACGAUGUGGGAAGGCCCAGACAGCCAGGAUGUUGGCUUAGAAGCAGCCAUCAUUUAAAGAAAGCGUAAUAGCUCACUGGUCGAGUCGGCCUGCGCGGAAGAUGUAACGGGGCUAAACCAUGCACCGAAGCUGCGGCAGCGACACUAUGUGUUGUUGGGUAGGGGAGCGUUCUGUAAGCCUGUGAAGGUGUGCUGUGAGGCAUGCUGGAGGUAUCAGAAGUGCGAAUGCUGACAUAAGUAACGAUAAAGCGGGUGAAAAGCCCGCUCGCCGGAAGACCAAGGGUUCCUGUCCAACGUUAAUCGGGGCAGGGUGAGUCGACCCCUAAGGCGAGGCCGAAAGGCGUAGUCGAUGGGAAACAGGUUAAUAUUCCUGUACUUGGUGUUACUGCGAAGGGGGGACGGAGAAGGCUAUGUUGGCCGGGCGACGGUUGUCCCGGUUUAAGCGUGUAGGCUGGUUUUCCAGGCAAAUCCGGAAAAUCAAGGCUGAGGCGUGAUGACGAGGCACUACGGUGCUGAAGCAACAAAUGCCCUGCUUCCAGGAAAAGCCUCUAAGCAUCAGGUAACAUCAAAUCGUACCCCAAACCGACACAGGUGGUCAGGUAGAGAAUACCAAGGCGCUUGAGAGAACUCGGGUGAAGGAACUAGGCAAAAUGGUGCCGUAACUUCGGGAGAAGGCACGCUGAUAUGUAGGUGAAGUCCCUCGCGGAUGGAGCUGAAAUCAGUCGAAGAUACCAGCUGGCUGCAACUGUUUAUUAAAAACACAGCACUGUGCAAACACGAAAGUGGACGUAUACGGUGUGACGCCUGCCCGGUGCCGGAAGGUUAAUUGAUGGGGUUAGCCGCAAGGCGAAGCUCUUGAUCGAAGCCCCGGUAAACGGCGGCCGUAACUAUAACGGUCCUAAGGUAGCGAAAUUCCUUGUCGGGUAAGUUCCGACCUGCACGAAUGGCGUAAUGAUGGCCAGGCUGUCUCCACCCGAGACUCAGUGAAAUUGAACUCGCUGUGAAGAUGCAGUGUACCCGCGGCAAGACGGAAAGACCCCGUGAACCUUUACUAUAGCUUGACACUGAACAUUGAGCCUUGAUGUGUAGGAUAGGUGGGAGGCUUUGAAGUGUGGACGCCAGUCUGCAUGGAGCCGACCUUGAAAUACCACCCUUUAAUGUUUGAUGUUCUAACGUUGACCCGUAAUCCGGGUUGCGGACAGUGUCUGGUGGGUAGUUUGACUGGGGCGGUCUCCUCCUAAAGAGUAACGGAGGAGCACGAAGGUUGGCUAAUCCUGGUCGGACAUCAGGAGGUUAGUGCAAUGGCAUAAGCCAGCUUGACUGCGAGCGUGACGGCGCGAGCAGGUGCGAAAGCAGGUCAUAGUGAUCCGGUGGUUCUGAAUGGAAGGGCCAUCGCUCAACGGAUAAAAGGUACUCCGGGGAUAACAGGCUGAUACCGCCCAAGAGUUCAUAUCGACGGCGGUGUUUGGCACCUCGAUGUCGGCUCAUCACAUCCUGGGGCUGAAGUAGGUCCCAAGGGUAUGGCUGUUCGCCAUUUAAAGUGGUACGCGAGCUGGGUUUAGAACGUCGUGAGACAGUUCGGUCCCUAUCUGCCGUGGGCGCUGGAGAACUGAGGGGGGCUGCUCCUAGUACGAGAGGACCGGAGUGGACGCAUCACUGGUGUUCGGGUUGUCAUGCCAAUGGCACUGCCCGGUAGCUAAAUGCGGAAGAGAUAAGUGCUGAAAGCAUCUAAGCACGAAACUUGCCCCGAGAUGAGUUCUCCCUGACCCUUUAAGGGUCCUGAAGGAACGUUGAAGACGACGACGUUGAUAGGCCGGGUGUGUAAGCGCAGCGAUGCGUUGAGCUAACCGGUACUAAUGAACCGUGAGGCUUAACCUUACAACGCCGAAGGUGUUU
Molecule: ribosomal RNA, 2932 nt
Filed under: Escherichia coli
Lineage: Bacteria; Pseudomonadati; Pseudomonadota; Gammaproteobacteria; Enterobacterales; Enterobacteriaceae
Description: 23S ribosomal RNA
Rfam family: Bacterial large subunit ribosomal RNA
Source: RNAcentral